This 475-nucleotide long non-coding RNA is filed under the name Ornithorhynchus anatinus (platypus). RNAcentral describes it as "lncRNA (ENSOANG00000040210.1)". The record is from RNAcentral. Lineage: Eukaryota; Metazoa; Chordata; Mammalia; Monotremata; Ornithorhynchidae.
GUGACCGGUUUCAAUCUCCUCCCCCUCCACACCUCGUACCCGUUCCCAAGGAGCAAAAUCCCCCUUUGACGGUCCGCCAGAAGUACUAACGAGCUGCGAAAUGGCCAGAAGGCAGAGGGAGGGGCGGAUGAGGGCUGGAUAACGAGCAGUCGGCUAGAAUGUGUAUUGUGACCGCGGACCGCUAUUUUUUUCCUGGAGCCCUGUUUGCCAUUUGAUGGGUUUGUGUCGAAUUCCCAACCAGCAGAGGUCACCGCAGAUGCUCCCGAACCUACUUUCAGACGCACCUUCGCAGCACACAUACCUCACCAUCGUACGGUGGUCGAGCUACAGAUCUCAGGAAUCCGAGCCAUUGUUCAGAACACACCGAACCACAUGAGAGAGGAAAAUCCCCCCCCAAAAGUAAAUAGCAUCAUCCAUUUUAAUACGAAUCGUUCCGAUAGCCAUCUAAUUGAUUUCGGUUUGAUUCCGGUGAAGG